AGCACGAGAUUCAAGAGGAAGAAAUAAAGAAAGAGCGAACAUCGCACCGCUGAAAAACGGAGUUGUUGCAGCAGCGAUGCAUAAGCAAAAUGGUUAGUUUCUAUUUUCUCCCUUUAUGUUUUUUCUAUAAUCCUUUGCCAUCGAUUGAUUUUCCAUGUUUAGGUUGCAGUCUUUAAAUUUGAUUUUGAAGAAACACAUGGUUAUUACAGUGGAAAACAUAUGGGAGAAGACAACUAACAAGGCUUAGAGCAUUCACAUGCAUAAUACCAGCGGCGGUUAUAAGGCCCGGCGACCCCAGACACUCGCCCGGUUUCGGGCCAAAUUUUUUGCAAUUUCUUGUGUAAAUCCCUAUGAAUUUCUUAUAUAAAUCCCUAUAAAUUGGGCAAUUUCUUUACAUUUUUUAUUAUUUGCUUGCAAUUUCUUAUGUACGCCCUAUAAAUGUGUUGCAAAUUUUUUUUUUGCCCAGGCUUUACAAUAUUCCUAGUUCCGCCACUGCAUAAUACAACAAUCAAC
Molecule: long non-coding RNA, 513 nt
Filed under: Medicago truncatula (barrel medic)
Lineage: Eukaryota; Viridiplantae; Streptophyta; Magnoliopsida; Fabales; Fabaceae
Description: long non-coding RNA (MTRU_LNC004056)
Source: RNAcentral